This 20-nucleotide transfer RNA is filed under the name Urtica trichantha. RNAcentral's name for it is "partial tRNA-Ser". Lineage: Eukaryota; Viridiplantae; Streptophyta; Magnoliopsida; Rosales; Urticaceae. The record is from RNAcentral. RNAcentral also lists the same sequence under 1 other name.
GUCCACUCAGCCAUCUCUCC